This 233-nucleotide ribosomal RNA is filed under the name uncultured bacterium. RNAcentral's name for it is "partial 16S ribosomal RNA". It matches the Rfam family "Bacterial small subunit ribosomal RNA", at positions 524 to 752 of the family's 1533-position model. The record is from RNAcentral.
GACAGAGGGUGCAAACGUUUGUUCGGAAUUACUGGGCGUAAAGCGCGUGUAGGCGGCCAUCUAAGUCGGGCGUGAAAUCCCACGGCUCAACCGUGGAAGUGCACUCGAAAACUGGAUGGCUAGAGUCCUGGAGAGGAAGGUGGAAUGCUUGGUGUAGAGGUGAAAUUCGUAGAUAUCAAGCGGAACACCGGGUGGCGAAGGCGGCCUUCUGGGACAGUGACUGACGCUGAGAC